UACGUAGGGUGCAAGCGUUGUCCGGAAUUAUUGGGCGUAAAGAGCUCGUAGGCGGUCUGUUGCGUCGGCUGUGAAAACCCGGGGCUCAACCCCGGGCCUGCAGCCGAUACGGGCAGACUAGAGUUCGGCAGGGGAGACUGGAAUUCCUGGUGUAGCGGUGAAAUGCGCAGAUAUCAGGAGGAACACCGGUGGCGAAGGCGGGUCUCUGGGCAUUAACUGACGCUGAGGAGCGAAAGCAUGGGGAGCGAACAGG
Molecule: ribosomal RNA, 253 nt
Filed under: uncultured bacterium
Lineage: Bacteria
Description: partial 16S ribosomal RNA
Rfam family: Bacterial small subunit ribosomal RNA
Source: RNAcentral